UAGGGAAUCUUCCGCAAUGGACGCAAGUCUGACGCAGCAACGCCGCGUGAGUGAAGAAGGCUUUCGGUUCGUAAAACUCUGUUGUUAGAGAAGAACAGCGCAUAGAGUAACUGUUAUGCGUGUGACGGUCUCUAACCAGAAAGGGACGGCUAACUACGUGCCAGCAGCCGCGGUAAUACGUAGGUCCCGAGCGUUGUCCGGAUUUAUUGGGCGUAAAGCGAGCGCAGGCGGUUAGAUAAGGCGGAAGUUAAAGGCAGGGGCUCAACCAUGGUAGGCUUUGGAAACUGUUUAACUUGAGUGCAGAAGGGGAGAGGGGAAUUCCAGGUGUAGCGGUGAAAUGCGUAGAUAUAGGGAGGAACACCGGUGGCGAAAGCGGCUCUCUGGUCUGUAACUGACGCUGAGGCUGGAAAGCGUGGGUAGCAAACAGG
Molecule: ribosomal RNA, 428 nt
Filed under: Bacteroidota bacterium
Lineage: Bacteria; Pseudomonadati; Bacteroidota
Description: Bacteroidetes bacterium partial 16S ribosomal RNA
Rfam family: Bacterial small subunit ribosomal RNA
Source: RNAcentral